GACGAACGCUGGCGGCGUGCUUAACACAUGCAAGUCGAACGGAAAGGCCCUGCUUUUGCGGGGUGCUCGAGUGGCGAACGGGUGAGUAACAUGUGAGUAACCUGCCCUUGACUUUGGGAUAACUUCAGGAAACUGGGGCUAAUACCGGAUAGGUGCUCCCGCUGCAUGGUGGGGGCUGGAAAGUAUCGGCGGUUGGGGAUGGACUCGCGGCUUAUCAGCUUGUUGGUGGGGUAGUGGCUUACUAAGGCUUCGACGGGGAGCCGGCCUGAGAGGGUGACCGGCCACAUUGGGACUGGGAUACGGCCCAGACUCCGACGGGAGGGAGCAGUGGGGAAUAUUGCACAAGGGGCGGAGGCCUGAUGCAGCAACGCCGCGGGCGGGAUGACGGCCUUCGGGUUGGAAACCGCUUUCGCCUGUGACGAAGCGUGAGUGACGGUAAUGGGUAAAGAAGCACCGGCUAAAUACGGGC
This 469-nucleotide ribosomal RNA is filed under the name uncultured bacterium. RNAcentral's name for it is "partial 16S ribosomal RNA". It matches the Rfam family "Bacterial small subunit ribosomal RNA", at positions 28 to 508 of the family's 1533-position model. The record is from RNAcentral.